This 801-nucleotide ribosomal RNA is filed under the name uncultured bacterium. Its description in RNAcentral is "bacterial SSU rRNA". It matches the Rfam family "Bacterial small subunit ribosomal RNA", at positions 89 to 906 of the family's 1533-position model. The record is from RNAcentral.
AGCUUAGUGGCGAACGGGUGAGUAACGCGUGAGUAACCUGCCCUGGAGUGGGGGACAACAGUUGGAAACGACUGCUAAUACCGCAUAAGCCCACGGCCCGGCAUCGGGCUGAGGGAAAAGGAUUUAUUCGCUUCAGGAUGGACUCGCGUCCAAUUAGCUAGUUGGUGAGGUAACGGCCCACCAAGGCGACGAUUGGUAGCCGGACUGAGAGGUUGAACGGCCACAUUGGGACUGAGACACGGCCCAGACUCCUACGGGAGGCAGCAGUGGGGGAUAUUGCACAAUGGGGGAAACCCUGAUGCAGCGACGCCGCGUGGAGGAAGAAGGUUUUCGGAUUGUAAACUCCUGUCGUUAGGGACGAUAAUGACGGUACCUAACAAGAAAGCACCGGCUAACUACGUGCCAGCAGCCGCGGUAAAACGUAGGGUGCAAGCGUUGUCCGGAAUUACUGGGUGUAAAGGGAGCGCAGGCGGACCGGCAAGUUGGAAGUGAAAACUAUGGGCUCAACCCAUAAAUUGCUUUCAAAACUGCUGGCCUUGAGUAGUGCAGAGGUAGGUGGAAUUCCCGGUGUAGCGGUGGAAUGCGUAGAUAUCGGGAGGAACACCAGUGGCGAAGGCGACCUACUGGGCACCAACUGACGCUGAGGCUCGAAAGCAUGGGUAGCAAACAGGAUUAGAUACCCUGGUAGUCCAUGCCGUAAACGAUGAUUACUAGGUGUUGGAGGAUUGACCCCUUCAGUGCCGCAGUUAACACAAUAAGUAAUCCACCUGGGGAGUACGACCGCAAGGUUGAAACUCAAAG